UACGAAGGGUGCAAGCGUUGCUCGGAAUCAUUGGGCGUAAAGCGCACGUAGGCGGCGAUCUAAGUCGGAUGUGAAAUCCCUCGGCUCAACCGAGGACGUGCAUCCGAAACUGGAUUGCUCGAGUAUGGAAGAGGGUCGCGGAAUUCCCGGUGUAGAGGUGAAAUUCGUAGAUAUCGGGAGGAACACCAGUGGCGAAGGCGGCGAUCUGGGUCGAUACUGACGCUGAGGUGCGAAAGCGUGGGGAGCAAACAGG
This 253-nucleotide ribosomal RNA is filed under the name uncultured bacterium. RNAcentral describes it as "partial 16S ribosomal RNA". It matches the Rfam family "Bacterial small subunit ribosomal RNA", at positions 524 to 776 of the family's 1533-position model. The record is from RNAcentral.